GGGCCAUGAAGAAUCAGGAGGAAGAAGGGGGCCAAGGAAACAUCCAUCAUUAUUAAUAGACGUGACUUGAGAAGGAGCUCAUGUCUGACCAAUGAACUAAAGAGCGUGGGGUUCGGUGUAAGGGUCAAAGAAAAAGUCAAAAGGAAGAAAAGUGAGAAAUCUGAAGAAAAUCGAGAAAUCUGAAGAAAAUCAAGAAGGACCAGGAGAACCUAGACCAUGCCCCUAGGUCAUUCCGGCAGGUCCCGUCGCCAUAGUCGUCUCAAUAACGCACAUCAGCCCACUGUGUUCGGUGGCUGGGGUGCCCCUCCAGGCAGAGACUGGAGCCAUAGGGCUCUCUGUGGUUGCCCUUACCACUGUGAGCCACCAGAAGAGCGACCGAGCUCUCGACCAGUCCACGGCAUCAUCAGCAGACAGCCAUCCCGAGAGUCAUCAGGAUUAGGCUGCCGGCUCCCGUGCAGGGGUUGGACUCCGGAGCUUCAGCCUUCAUUACCACCCCGUCACCAUUUUCAUUUUCCCAGUCCAACUGGACGUACUCAUGGACCUCACAGAGCAGAGUUAAGGAAACAGAAGUGGCAGAAGUUAAGUGAUUCGCCAAGAGUUACUAGAAGUCGUGGAAUGUACAGAAUGCCGAGCACAGGGCCUGAGUGCCCCCCAAUCCCUUCCCGAUUUGGAACAUGUCCUCAGUCUCCUUGUCAGGCUCCACAUGUGGAUGGUGGCCUGUACUCAUCGCUUUAUCAGCCACCUACGUCUUCUCGUCUCUUCCGCCUUCCUCCUCGCUAUACCCAUUACCGGGUACCUCAGAACUAUCCAGAGCAUCAAUACUUUUAUCCAUCUUCAUCUGAACUUUUGCCUUUUCCUCUCCAAUCUCCCAUUCCUCGCCGGAAUGGGCUGGACCCUUAGUGAGGUCAACUCCAGGGGGACAAAGGAAAAAUAAAUGACAGUGACUGCGUAUUCCA
Molecule: long non-coding RNA, 956 nt
Filed under: Monodelphis domestica (gray short-tailed opossum)
Lineage: Eukaryota; Metazoa; Chordata; Mammalia; Didelphimorphia; Didelphidae
Description: lncRNA (ENSMODG00000035027.2)
Source: RNAcentral